Molecule: transfer RNA, 71 nt
Filed under: Pleurodeles poireti (Algerian ribbed newt)
Lineage: Eukaryota; Metazoa; Chordata; Amphibia; Caudata; Salamandridae
Description: tRNA-Ser
Rfam family: tRNA
About the family: Transfer RNA (tRNA) molecules are approximately 80 nucleotides in length. Their secondary structure includes four short double-helical elements and three loops (D, anti-codon, and T loops). Further hydrogen bonds mediate the characteristic L-shaped molecular structure. tRNAs have two regions of fundamental functional importance: the anti-codon, which is responsible for specific mRNA codon recognition, and the 3' end, to which the tRNAs corresponding amino acid is attached (by aminoacyl-tRNA synthetases). tRNAs cope with the degeneracy of the genetic code in two manners: having more than one tRNA (with a specific anti-codon) for a particular amino acid; and 'wobble' base-pairing, i.e. permitting non-standard base-pairing at the 3rd anti-codon position.
Source: RNAcentral
AAGAAAGUGAUAGAUUGGCUAUAUGGUCGACUUGAAAUCGGCUUAAGGGGGUUCGAUUCCUUCCUUUCUUG